UUAGUCUCAGCUCUCAGCUACUGCUCUGACCUCUUGGGCUUUUAACUCUGCAUUUGGCUUUGUGUUUCUUAUUUAAUAAGACUGUUCAUCUACAUACAGGCUGAGAGAAAGGCAUUUGAGGCCAAUCCUGAUGACUUAAGUUCAAUCCCCAGAACAUACAAGGGAGAGGGAAGAAUUGACCCCUGAAAGUUGUUCUGACCUGCACAGGUAUGUACACACACACACACACACACACACACACACACACACACACACACACACACACACCAAACAGAGGGAGACAGGAAAAGAUGAAGGAUCCAAGGUUGUUCAACUGUUCCAACAUGCAAAGGUUAGUGCCCAGAUGCCAGUGGGAGAGCCUGAGACUCCAGCCAUCGUCUAAGAUCCUUUCAUUGACUUAGAACCUGUGAGUUUCCAUGAAGCGGAACGUCAAAGGUGUACACGGUCCUGCAGGUGAGUGGAGGAGGCUCCAGUCGCGUCUGGCAUCCCUCCUUGCUUUUCUGCAAUGAACAUCCAGAUCAAGAUUGCCAAGGAAGCUGGGCGGUGGUGGUGCACACCUUUAAUCCCAGCACUCAGGAGGCAGAGGCAGGCGGAUCUCUGUGAGUUCAAAGCCAGCCUGGUCUACAGAGUGAGUUCCAGGACAGCCAGGGCUACACAGAGAAACCCUGUCUUGAAAAAAACAAACAAUAGGACUGCAAAUGAGAUUUGGAAAGUCAUGUUUGAUAAGAACUGGGAAGAUAUCAAUUGGGUCAGGGGUCAGUGUUGCUACUCUUGACACUUUUCUCCUGGGGACUCCGUUGGGCAGGAAAACAUGGUUGUCCUGAGGACACAGACCUACCUCAUGAAAGUCACUUCAAAAGCUUGAAGCAACUUCCAGGCCUGACCGGGUGUUGACUUUGGCCCCGUCCAUCCACGUCAGAGUCUCUGCACAGCCUGUUUGAUCCAGUGCUCGCUGGCCUUGACAUCUACAGUGAAGGGGCUGGAGAGAUGGCUCUGCCCGUCAGAGCCCUGGCUGCUCUUCCAGAGGACCUGGGU
Peromyscus maniculatus bairdii (prairie deer mouse) is the source of this 1035-nucleotide non-coding RNA. NCBI's taxonomy places the organism in Eukaryota, Metazoa, Chordata, Mammalia, Rodentia, Cricetidae. The record is from RefSeq and is a predicted model, not a curated record.